GCUCGGGCCGCUGCUGUUCUUCUCCUUCGCCUUGCUGGGUGACGGGCUCUCCUUGUCGCUGUCGUUGCACGCCAUGGGGCUGGAGGAGUCCGGCGAGGCGCACGGAGCUUUCUCCGGCUGAGGCGGAGUUUUCUUCAGGUGUGCCCGCGGUCCGCUUGGAUGAAUGGCGGUUGGUCCCGAGCGCGCAGAGCUCUGCCCUCCGACACGCGCCGGCCGAGCCCGACAACACCCGAGCGCCUCCGAGUGGAGCCGAAGCUGCUGUGGCGCUCAGAGGGGGAAUAAAGUCACUGGAAUGGUCCUUUAAUAUUCCCUCAAGGGCUUGUUAUGGCAUUUUUUAAAACAUUUUUUUCCUUUAUAUUAUUUAUAAAGAAAAUUAUUUUUAUAUUAUUACUUUUUUUUUUAACUCCAUUACAUUUAUCUGAUAACUUUGAAUAUCAGUGUUUUACAUCCAACAUAUAUGCUCAAUGUUUUGUACUUUUACUUGCAGUUAAUUCAUUAAAAAAACAGGUCUUAAACUAUAUUAUGACACUAUAAAUGAUAAGAAUAUAUGAAUACUGUCCCUCCCUAAAGUACUAGAAUAUUAUAAUCACAGUGAUAAGAUGAACUGUAAUCAGUUUUGUCACUAUAAAGCCACAAAAUCACUCCUUUAUAAGAUCAAAAAACUAUAGUCUAAAGUCAGACUAAAACUGUAACUAACUCUAAUACUCUAAUAAUAACUACAGGAGUAUUCAGAGUUGGAAAGUAACAAGUUGACUUCACUAUAAUUUGGGUUACUUUUACUUUGUUUUAUUUUCAUUUUAUGUUACUUUUAUGAUAUAUUUCUAAAGUUCAUUAUGUUUUUAGAGACACAGUUUGUACUUUUUCCCACCACUACAUUUAUCUGAUAACUUUAGUUACUAUUACUUUGAAUAUAAAAUUUUUACAUACAAAAUAAAAUACAUUUUAUGACUAUAAAUCUCAUAUUUAGGGAUAUAUAAUAUAUAUGAUCUAUAUAUGAAUAUUAACUGUGUUUUAUCAUUGUGCGUCCAUUAAAAAAGCUCAUUAUUGUAUUAUUUUUGAGUGUCAGGCAAUGCUAUGUGUCAGGACUUGAAAAACAGGGAUGGACUGACAACAUUUUGAUUUAUUUUACAUCAUUACAAAGACUUUUGUUCAACUUGUUAUAUAUUCAUUUGUUGUUUUCAGUAAGGCACUCUGUGCAGUUUUGUAAAAGUGCACAUAUAAAUAAGUUGUAUUAACACGUGUGUUAUGGUCCCUGAAAA
This is a long non-coding RNA of Acanthopagrus latus (yellowfin seabream), 1259 nucleotides long. RefSeq lists it as uncharacterized. The record is from RefSeq and is a predicted model, not a curated record. NCBI's taxonomy places the organism in Eukaryota, Metazoa, Chordata, Actinopteri, Spariformes, Sparidae. The transcript has 2 exons.